UGCGCAGCGGCAUCAUCUGG
This 20-nucleotide unclassified non-coding RNA is filed under the name Chlamydomonas reinhardtii. Its description in RNAcentral is "small RNA Cre_3092". Lineage: Eukaryota; Viridiplantae; Chlorophyta; Chlorophyceae; Chlamydomonadales; Chlamydomonadaceae. The record is from RNAcentral.